GAUGAACGCUGGCGGCGUGCCUAAUACAUGCAAGUCGAGCGAACAGAUGAGGAGCUUGCUCCUCUGACGUUAGCGGCGGACGGGUGAGUAACACGUGGAUAACCUACCUAUAAGACUGGGAUAACUUCGGGAAACCGGAGCUAAUACCGGAUAAUAUAUUGAACCGCAUGGUUCAAUAGUGAAAGACGGUCUUGCUGUCACUUAUAGAUGGAUCCGCGCCGCAUUAGCUAGUUGGUAAGGUAACGGCUUACCAAGGCAACGAUGCGUAGCCGACCUGAGAGGGUGAUCGACCACACUGGAACUGAGACACGGUCCAGACACCUAGGGGAGGCAGCAGUAGGGAAUCUUCCGCAAUGGGCGAAAGCCUGACGGAGCAACGCCGCGUGAGUGAUGAAGGUCUUCGGAUCGUAAAACUCUGUUAUUAGGGAAGAACAAAUGUGUAAGUAACUAUGCACGUCUUGACGGUACCUAAUCAGAAAGCCACGGCUAACUACGUG
This 497-nucleotide ribosomal RNA is filed under the name uncultured bacterium. RNAcentral describes it as "partial 16S ribosomal RNA". It matches the Rfam family "Bacterial small subunit ribosomal RNA", at positions 28 to 507 of the family's 1533-position model. The record is from RNAcentral.